RNAcentral lists this ribosomal RNA (508 nucleotides) under uncultured bacterium. RNAcentral describes it as "partial 16S ribosomal RNA". It matches the Rfam family "Bacterial small subunit ribosomal RNA", at positions 28 to 507 of the family's 1533-position model. The record is from RNAcentral.
GACGAACGCUGGCGGCGUGCCUAAUACAUGCAGGUCGAACGCUUCUUUCCUCCCGAGUGCUUGCACUCAAUUGGAAAGAGGAGUGGCGGACGGGUGAGUAACACGUGGGUAACCUACCCAUCAGAGGGGGAUAACACUUGGAAACAGAUGCUAAUAUCGCAUAACAGUUUAUGCCGCAUGGCAUAAGAGUGAAAGGCGCUUUCGGGUGUCGCUGAUGGAUGGACCCGCGGUGCAUUAGCUAGUUGGUGAGGUAACGGCUCACCAAGGCCACGAUGCAUAGCCGACCUGAGAGGGUGAUCGGCCACACUGGGACUGAGACACGGCCCAGACUCCUACGGGAGGCAGCAGUAGGGAAUCUUCGGCAAUGGACGAAAGUCUGACCGAGCAACGCCGCGUGAGUGAAGAAGGUUUUCGGAUCGUAAAACUCUGUUGUUAGAGAAGAACAAGGACGUUAGUAACUGAACGUCCCCUGACGGUAUCUAACCAGAAAGCCACGGCUAACUACGUG